AUCUGGACGGAAAACAGCGCAGUUUAAAUUCAGGAGUAGUUAAGUUACAGGGUCGCGCUGUCCCUUCUUCGCUGAUUAACCUUUCAACAGCGGAGUCUCCUUAUCAAGGCUGAAACCUUAGUUGUUGGUGCUUCCUCCCGGGAGCCCGCCUACUACUAGAGCUUGAAACACACACACACACAGUAGGUGUGGAUUUUUCCCUGCAGGUUCCUUAACAGACGCAAAACGAGUUCCUUUUCAAGUUGGUUCCCCUUUGGCUCCAGCCUUUGUUGAGUUCUCCAAGACAGUCCCCAGCUCUGCAGACUUUUCCCUCCAAGAAGAGGGAGCGGAGGUGGGGGCGGGGAGCCGAGGGGAGGGAGGCUCGGAGGCUCGGAGCCCGGAACGCGGCGGCGCUCAGGAGGGAGCGGUAGCCAUCUGUGUACGCGGAGGGCUGAGCAGCGCUUCCUCCCCUCGAGUGCUGAAAUGGGAAGGCGUUCAAAUUCCCAGCCUCCCUUCGGGACUCCACUUCCUGCCGCUAAAGUGUAAGAGCCUCAGACAUCCUCGCUCGCUGGAGGGCGGAGGCUGUGCGACCAUAGUUGGGGGCAGGCAAGUCAUGAUCACAUGCUACCUUCAUCCGGGCUCUACAAAGCAUCUGCCUCAAUACUCAGCAGCUUCAGCUAGAGACUGAGAGACAACAAAUGCCAUGGUUGAGAAUGGGCCGGGUGACAGGAGCUUGCAUGGGGAAUAAAGGGUUAAGAGGCCGCCUAACAUGGUGGCUCUUGCUUGUAAGCCCAUAAUGCAGAAGGCUGCAGCAAGAGGAUCAGCCUCAGAUCCAUAUCAAGACCCUGUCUCUAAUAGUAAGGAUUGCAGAAGUAGUAGUGAAUUAUGAGAUCUCCAAAAUUUAGAGAAACCAUCAGGAAGGACUUUUACUAAAAUGGUGUUUGCUGCCAUCAUUGGAACCCUAAGGGUUCCGGAUAAGGGAGCCUUUGACCUUGCCUUCUUAUGGUCUCAGGUCCUCUACUGUCCCAUUCUGGUCCCAAGUGCCCUCAUGUAUAAAACCAAGAAGGGAAAUGUUUAACCACAGAGAGAGCAAAGUGUCUAAUAACUAUUGUUUUUGUGCCCCGAAUGUGACAGGGUGCUCUGUGAAACCGUAAUGAGCAGGGGGGCCUCCUGGGCCCUGGCUCCUAUUAGCCUACUAGGUCCACACAUCCUGUGCGUGGCUGAGGCUGGGGCUGAGGAAGAGGCCUCGGCUCCACUGGACUUCCUCUCCAACCAGCACUUACAAGCGCUGUGGGAUGGCAUGUAGGGUAGCAGCAGGCAGGCUGUCAGGAGGGCGUAGAAAUAACGACUUGAGAGGAAGCUCGGCCUAAUGGCUCUGAUUCUUGACCAGUACUUUAGGGAGCCUUGUCUUCCUCCUGUCCCCGAGGCUGAGUCAUAGAGCCCCUAAAUGACCUCCCUCUGAGUAACUUCCUGCUUCAUCCAGAGGGACCAUUAUACAGGAUCCAGUCAGCCAUCUGGGUCUCUUCCUCCUUCCCCAGAGGAAGGUGCUCUGAUGAAGAGAGACCAAGAGAGGUGCCAGAGGUUAAGCGUGUGAUUGAUGGUGGGCCCCGGGCUUGUGACUUCUUGUCCUGGUCUUUUUCUAUUGUGCCACAGAGCCCCAAUGACAAGAGCCCCAAGAGCAAGAACAAAGACACUUCAGGCCCUUCAGGAGACCCGUUCUGGCCAUCCCACGGGACACGAUGCUGUACAUAUUUCCAAACAUGCGAACGUUCUCAAACAGAAUGGCACAGACAGGAAUAGUCUCUAAGCCCAGAACAGAACAGACAGACAGACAAACAAACAAACGAAAAUUCCACUUCCUAAUUUCACUUCUGCUUUUUCCUGAGACACUACCACACACAAUUCCCUGGGUUUUAUCUUUACGUUGGGCACAUAGAAAUGAAGUGUCAAAUGGAGCUGCCACAGAAAAGUCCCAAUGCUGUGCAUGCAGGGGAUUUGAUCACGUGCAUCCUGGGAAGAGUUAUGGGGACAACAGAAACAGACAUUUAAAUGAGGAAGAACAGUUGGGACCUUGUGUCCAUUUUAAAUGCUUCCGUUAGUGUCCGCUAUGUUUUAGUUUAUUUAUAAAGAGAAGCACAGGUGUUGUGGUUUAGGUCGGCCACAGAUCGCCAUCUAUCUAAUCUAAAUUCGUUCAUCCAUUCACAUUUGUGGAUGUCCCCUUGGUACUGGCUGUACUGCUAGGCAAGAAGAAUAUGAUAUCUAACAUGUAUUUCUGCAGGUACCCCCCUCCACCCCACCAUGUGUGCAUCUGCUUUUCUUUCUGCCCUGGGAUUGAAAAUAUUUGAAAAAAAAUUAUAUGUACUGAAUACAGA
Rattus norvegicus (Norway rat) is the source of this 2351-nucleotide non-coding RNA. The record is from RefSeq and is a predicted model, not a curated record. Lineage: Eukaryota; Metazoa; Chordata; Mammalia; Rodentia; Muridae.